This 424-nucleotide ribosomal RNA is filed under the name uncultured anaerobic ammonium-oxidizing bacterium. Its description in RNAcentral is "bacterial SSU rRNA". It matches the Rfam family "Bacterial small subunit ribosomal RNA", at positions 383 to 810 of the family's 1533-position model. The record is from RNAcentral.
GUGAACGAGCGACGCCGCGUGGAGGACGAAGGCCUUCGGGUUGUAAACUCCUGUCGAGGGGAAGGAAGGGGCCGCGAGGCCCUUGACCGCUCCCUGGAGGAAGCACGGGCUAAGUUCGUGCCAGCAGCCGCGGUAAGACGAACCGUGCGAACGUUAUUCGGAAUCACUGGGCUUAAAGCGCGUGUAGGCGGGUCGGUGCGUCGGCCGCUGAAAUCCCCCGGCUCAACCGGGGAAGGGGCGCCGAUACGACCGGCCUGGAGCGACGUAGGGGGAACUGGAACUUCCGGUGGAGCGGUGAAAUGCGUUGAGAUCGGAAGGAACGCCCGUGGCGAAAGCGAGUUCCUGGACGUCGGCUGACGCUGAGACGCGAAAGCCAGGGGAGCGAACGGGAUUAGAUACCCCGGUAGUCCUGGCCGUAAACGAU